UACGUAGGCAGCGAGCGUUGUUCGGAGUUACUGGGCGUAAAGGGUGUGUAGGCGGUUCUUUAAGUUUGGUGUGAAAUCUCCCGGCUCAACCGGGAGGGUGCGCCGAAUACUGAGGGACUAGAGUACGGGAGAGGAAAGUGGAAUUCCUGGUGUAGCGGUGAAAUGCGUAGAUAUCAGGAGGAACACCGGUGGUGUAGAUGGCUUUCUGGACCGUAACUGACGCUGAGACACGAAAGCGUGGGUAGCAAACAGG
This 253-nucleotide ribosomal RNA is filed under the name uncultured bacterium. RNAcentral describes it as "partial 16S ribosomal RNA". It matches the Rfam family "Bacterial small subunit ribosomal RNA", at positions 524 to 776 of the family's 1533-position model. The record is from RNAcentral.